RNAcentral lists this ribosomal RNA (484 nucleotides) under uncultured bacterium. Its description in RNAcentral is "SSU rRNA". It matches the Rfam family "Bacterial small subunit ribosomal RNA", at positions 26 to 518 of the family's 1533-position model. The record is from RNAcentral.
AGAGCGAACGUUAGCGGCGCGCCUAACACAUGCAAGUCGCACGAGAAAGGGCCUCGGCCCCGGUACAGUGGCGCACGGGUGAGUAACACGUGGGGGACCUUCCCGGAGUGGUGGAUAACCUGCCGAAAGGCGGGCUAAGACAGCAUACGAGGUCGGCAUCAAGGUGCCGCCCUGAAAGCAGGCCUCUCUUCAGAAGCCUGCGCUCCGGGAUGGCCCCGCGUCCCAUCAGCUAGUUGGUGAGGUAACGGCUCACCAAGGCGACGACGGGUAGCUGGCUUGAGAGAGCGACCAGCCACACUGGGACUGAGACACGGCCCAGACUCCUACGGGAGGCAGCAGUGAGGAUUUCCGCAAUGGGCGAAAGCCUGACGGAGCGACGCCGCGUGUGGGAUGAAGGCCUUCGGGUCGUAACCACUGUCGAAGGGGAGAUAUUGACGGUACCCUUGGAGGAAGCCCCGGCUAACCGUACGUGCCAGCGAGCCGC